GAUGAACGCUGGCGGCGUGCUUAACACAUGCAAGUCGAACGAAGAUAUUAAGAAUGAGAGCUUCGGCAGGAAUUUUUCUUAUCUUAGUGGCGGACGGGUGAGUAACGUGUGGGCAACCUGCCCUGCACUGGGGAAUAAUCAUUGGAAACGAUGACUAAUACCGCAUACGGUUCCUGGGAGGCAUCUUCCGGGAAAGAAAGGAUUUAUUCGGUGCAGGAUGGGCCCGCAUCUGAUUAGCUAGUUGGUGAGAUAACAGCCCACCAAGGCGACGAUCAGUAGCCGACCUGAGAGGGUGACCGGCCACAUUGGGACUGAGACACGGCCCAAACUCCUACGGGAGGCAGCAGUGGGGAAUAUUGCACAAUGGGCGAAAGCCUGAUGCAGCAACGCCGCGUGAAGGAAGAAGGGUUUCGGCUCGUAAACUUCUAUCAACAGGGACGAAAGAAAUGACGGUAC
Molecule: ribosomal RNA, 456 nt
Filed under: uncultured bacterium
Lineage: Bacteria
Description: bacterial SSU rRNA
Rfam family: Bacterial small subunit ribosomal RNA
Source: RNAcentral